Non-coding RNA from Manis javanica (Malayan pangolin), 734 nucleotides. The record is from RefSeq and is a predicted model, not a curated record. Lineage: Eukaryota; Metazoa; Chordata; Mammalia; Pholidota; Manidae.
CUCCCCCCAGGGAGAGGCUCAGCGUUCUGGGCCCCUUCUGUAGCCCCAUUUCAUCAGGUGAAAUUCAACUAUCUGGGAUCUAAAUAAACUGCCGAACAACUGUGGAGACAGCAUGUCCUGACAGUGCACAGGAUGAAGACUGAAGCAGAGAGGCGCGGCUUCAGGACUGUCGGCACGGGUCCCGCCUGGGUAGACCCAGCUAAUCAGUGUGCCUGAUAGAAGGUCUGGGAGAGAAUGCCCACUUGCUGCACAUCUCUUAGUAGAGGGACAAGCUCGAGGACCGUUAUCAUGACAUCAGCAAAGCACUCACCCAAGUAGACACCUCUAAAAAUGGCUCCACAUCCCUGUGCAAGAUGCAGCAAGCGCUGCAGGCCUGUGGCUGUUCUCUCAAGGAAAAGGAGCUGGCCAAUCUUCUCGACAGUUGGGGAAUCAGCUGGCGUGAUAACUGUGUCAAUUACCUUGACUUCUUGAGAAGGGUGGAGAACAGCCAACCAACAAGACCUCAGCCAAAAGAAAAAGAAGACAGUAUGCCAGUCAAUUUUGCCACCCUAAAUCUAGAGAUUGUGAAAAGCAUCCAGGAAGUGGUUGCCUCCUCUGAUCUGGCUUUGUCAACGGCAUUUUCUGAAUUGGAUAAAGAGGACACUGGAUUUGUAAAGGCUUCAGAUUUUAGACAAGUUCUCAAGGACUUCUAUUCCAAACUAACGGAUAAUCAGUAUCGUUACUUUUUGAGAAAA